RNAcentral lists this long non-coding RNA (1224 nucleotides) under Gouania willdenowi (blunt-snouted clingfish). Its description in RNAcentral is "lncRNA (ENSGWIG00000005383.1)". The record is from RNAcentral. Lineage: Eukaryota; Metazoa; Chordata; Actinopteri; Blenniiformes; Gobiesocidae.
UGAACAAAAUUUUCAUGAUGCUCAAUUAAAGGGACUUGUAAAUGGUAUUGUAUGUAAAAUAGUGUUUGAUUGCGAUUUCUGAUUUGUAUUUCAGUUUGAAUUGUAAUUCCUAAUCAGCUCAUUUUAAUCUUUGCCUUUUAGAGUACCUGGCAUCAAUCACUUAAACGCAAAUUUCAAUUGGAGCGUGCACCUCUUAUUCAUGAAGAUGAAGUGAAAAAGUGUAAGGAGAAAUUUGGACAAAAACGAACAAAACAGUUGGGUGAAUGUGACAGAGUCGGCAGGCGAGCUCCAUCUGAGUCUCCAUGUGUAAGCGGGGAAGAUGCUUCAUCCAUAGAGCAACAUGUCCGAGUCCUGCAUGUGCAAUAUGAGAGGGUGAAUCCAGAUGUUUCCGUAGUUGAAGAGCGCAUGCGGCGUACAUUUGCUUGGCGGAGGAAGGAGAUUGUGGAUGGGAUGACAGUGGGGGAUGUCCUCAAAAAGUAUCCCUUCUUGAGAUCUCCCAGAGAGCUAUGCAUUGAAGUAGACAGGAUGCGUCCAACAGAUGUCAAUUUGUGUCAACGUUGGCGACAGAAUUUCACCAAAAUUGUUCCAAAAGUGAUACAGUUGGCCCAAGGAAAAACUCCACUGGCCAAAGUGCAUUCUGCUGCCAGGGAGGAAGUUCUCGCAGAGGACAUACAAGAUGUUGACUUCAGAGCAGCACUCAUUUUGCUACCCUAUCUCUUCAAAGAGAAAAUUGAAUGAGUCAUUAUACUAUGCCAGUCUGGGGCCUUCAGUUCAACCCCCUACCCAACUGUACAGCUGACUAACAUGGACUGGAAGACGGUCUUCACAAGGAGAAUCCCCGUGUCAGUCAUGGUGGAUGGAACAGAUCUGUGCCAGGGAUCAGGAGUUGAAGAAGGAAUGAUUGCAGUCUUUUGUGCGUACUAUGUUUUUAAUUUGGAAUACCCUCCUUACCUGAAGAACACACUGAUGUUUCUUCAGCACGUGGUACUGAACAUUUCUGAGGUGGGUGAGAAGGCCCUUCCCAUCACUGUGACUCGGAUGAUGAACCUGCUAUACUAAACGCCUAAAAUGCCACAGCCAUAUAAAUGCGCAAAGUGUAGCAGAGCUACAGUACAUUCACCUUAAAGAAACUGAUUCAGCAUGUUGGUCUAAUUCAUGCUCAUGAAUCCAACUUUAGUGUGACUUGUGGAAUAAAUAAUUGUAAGUCAACUUUUAAAGUAUACA